UUUAGGGCUCCCUGGAAUUGGCCUUGAAGCUCAUCCACUACAGCUUCGAGCCCCCCUUCGUAAGGACGUCUUCCUCAAGUCGUUGAUCAAACUUGACCACGACAUUCUCCAUCUUAGAAAGCCACUUCUCCAUCAUGGCUACUACAUCUCUAGAUCGUUCCCUCUUUGAUUUGCCCUCACGAUCCAUGUUGACCUUGGACAGGUCUGUCUCCACAUCGGAUCCGCUCUUCAACAUGCUUCUUCGAAUGAUUCGAGCUUUGGCUCUGAUACCAACUGUCACGGGAUGACUUUUUCAAAGUCUUCCUUCCGUGCGGCCUUAGACUUGAUCACCUCUCGAACAAGCUAAGUUAGCCUUCUUCCAACAAAAUAAGAUCGAACCAAGCAAGAACAAUCACAACAGCAAGAACAAUAAGAACGCUUAAGAGAGUUUGGGAGAAUAUGUGCUUGUAUUAUUACUCAAAUGCUUUACAAGUUGUGAGGUGAGGAUACACAAUGUGACAUCCUCCUUAUAUACUGUAUCCCACCUACCACCACACUAGGUGGCUAAGAUACAAAGUCACCAACCGAAAUCUACCUACUACUUCCACCAACCAACGUUUACCUACUACUGUACAAUGAAUCUGGACAUGUGGGCUAAGAGGUCUAGCAUGAUCAAUCCAAUGAGCUGGGCCUUGAAACAUGCGGGCCAUGCCACAAGGUUCCUCAACUUAAAUGCGGAAUAUGCAACCGAUGUUUUCAUGAUUCUUCUAGAUAUGACUCACCACAAACAAGACAAGAAGGUAGAUUUAUAGUUGCAUAUGUGUAGAUUGAUAUGUAAUUUGGUAGAUUUUCCUUUUUAUGAUGGGGAAUCAACACAUUACGUAAUCUACUAUUUUUUGUCCUUGAUCUUUUUUUUUUUUUUUUUUUUGUCAAUCAAGUUAUCCUCGCACAUCUGUUUUGUUCAUAUCAUGCCGUUAGAGUCCAUCAAUAAUCAGUUCUAUUUUUUGUACAUGAGAGAUAUUGGGAUAAGAGGAUUUCCCUUUGAAAACAACAAAAACAUUUUUGAAAACAUUAAAAAUAAAUAAUAAAAAAAGGGAAAAUUUCCAUUGUAGAUACACAAACCCUAAUCCAGACUUAGAUGCUUUUUUUACAUAACACAUAAAUGACUCAAUCAAAGAAGAAGGCCAAGAAUAUGCAGAAUGUACUUGAGUCAAAGGGAAAAAAGGAAUGAAUGACCAUCAGAAAAUCAAGCAUGGUAAGGUUGCUCAGCUCAAAUGUGAACUGUUCUAGAUCUGACUCACCACAAACAAGACAAGAAGGUAGGAUUUAUAGUUCUAGAAAUUAUUUGUAGAUUAAUGUGAUAUGGUAGAUUUUUUAUUUUUUAUGAUAAGGAAUCAAAGUUUAUGAACAUACUGUAAUCGUACCAAAGUUUCUGAAGUUGUGGUCGUUUGAUU
RNAcentral lists this long non-coding RNA (1433 nucleotides) under Prunus persica (peach). RNAcentral describes it as "long non-coding RNA (PPER_LNC006886)". Lineage: Eukaryota; Viridiplantae; Streptophyta; Magnoliopsida; Rosales; Rosaceae. The record is from RNAcentral.